AGUGAACGCUGGCGGUAGGCCUAACACAUGCAAGUCGAACGGCAGCACAGUAAGAGCUUGCUCUUACGGGUGGCGAGUGGCGGACGGGUGAGGAAUACAUCGGAAUCUACUUUUUCGUGGGGGAUAACGUAGGGAAACUUACGCUAAUACCGCAUACGACCUACGGGUGAAAGCAGGGGAUCUUCGGACCUUGCGCGAUUGAAUGAGCCGAUGUCGGAUUAGCUAGUUGGCGGGGUAAAGGCCCACCAAGGCGACGAUCCGUAGCUGGUCUGAGAGGAUGAUAAGCCACACUGGAACUGAGACACGGACAAGGCUCCUACGGGAGGGAGCAGUGGGGAAUAUUGGACAAUGGGCGCAAGCCUGAUCCAGCCAUACCGCGUGGGUGAAGAAGGCCUUCGGGUUGGAAAGCCCUUUUGUUGGGAAAGAAAAGCAGCAGGUUAAUACCCCGCUGUUCUGACGGUACCCAAAGAAUAAGCACCGGCUAACUUCGUG
RNAcentral lists this ribosomal RNA (492 nucleotides) under uncultured bacterium. RNAcentral's name for it is "partial 16S ribosomal RNA". It matches the Rfam family "Bacterial small subunit ribosomal RNA", at positions 29 to 507 of the family's 1533-position model. The record is from RNAcentral.